Non-coding RNA from Pan troglodytes (chimpanzee), 1623 nucleotides. The record is from the annotation of a RefSeq genome assembly. NCBI's taxonomy places the organism in Eukaryota, Metazoa, Chordata, Mammalia, Primates, Hominidae.
GCGAGUGACCCCGUCUGUAGGCCAGACGUACGGGCAUGCAGGCCCUCCCCUCCAGCCCCUCAGCAUCCAGCCACAUCUGUGGACACAGCCAGCACGGCGGCGCAGGGCUCUGCUAAGGACAGACGGCCAUCAAGGCAGGGCCUGGGCCGGGCCAGGGCUCCCUCCCCACAGCAGCCCUCUUGGCAGGCAGCCAGACGCCCGUGAGGGUGGACCUGCCAUGAGGGCCUGCACGCCAGAGGCCGCCCACUCAGCACUGCGGGCCCUCCAGCAGCCUGACCAGCAUCCCCGACCAGCCCCAAGGUCUUCCCGCUGAGCCUCGACAGCAACCCCCAAGAUGGGAACGUGGUCGUCGCCUGCCUGGUCCAGGGCUUCUUCCCCCAGGAGCCACUCAGUGUGACCUGGAGCGAAAGCGGACAGGGCGUGACCGCCACAAACUUCCCGCCCAGCCAGGAUGCCUCCGGGGACCUGUACACCACGAGCAGCCAGCUGACCCUGCCGGCCACACAGUGCCUAGCCGGCAAGUCCGUGACAUGCCACGUGAAGCACUACACGAAUCCCAGCCAGGAUGUGACUGUGCCCUGCCGAGGUCCCUCAACUCCAUGUCCCCCAACUCCCUCAACUCCACCUACCCCAUCUCCCUCCUGCUGCCACCCCCGACUGUUGCUGCACCGACCGGCCCUUGAGGACCUGCUCUUAGGUUCAGAAGCGAACCUCACGUGCACACUGACCGGCCUGAGAGAUGCCUCAGGUGCCACCUUCACCUGGUCGCCCUCAAGUGGGAAGAGCGCUGUUCAAGGACCACCUGAGCGUGACCUCUGUGGCUGCUACAGCGUGUCCAGUGUCCUGCCCGGCUGUGCCGAGCCAUGGAACCAUGGGGAGACCUUCACCUGCACUGCUGCCUACCCCGAGUCCAAGACCCCGCUAACCGCCAACAUCACAAAAUCCGGAAACACGUUCCGGCCCGAGGUCCACCUGCUGCCGCCGCCGUCGGAGGAGCUGGCCCUGAACGAGCUGGUGACGCUGACGUGCCUGGCACGCGGCUUCAGCCCCAAGGACGUGCUGGUUCGCUGGCUGCAGGGGUCACAGGAGCUGCCCCGCGAGAAGUACCUGACUUGGGCAUCCCGGCAGGAGCCCAGCCAGGGCACCACCACCUUCGCUGUGACCAGCAUACUGCGCGUGGCAGCUGAGGACUGGAAGAAAGGGGACACCUUCUCCUGCAUGGUGGGCCACGAGGCCCUGCCGCUGGCCUUCACACAGAAGACCAUCGACCGCCUGGCGGAUUGGCAGAUACUGCCUCCCUAUGUGGUGCUGGACUUGCCGCAGGAGACCCUGGAGGAGGAGACCCCCGGCGCCAACCUGUGGCCCACCACCAUCACCUUCCUCACCCUCUUCCUGCUGAGCCUGUUCUAUAGCACAGCACUGACCGUGACCAGCGUCCGGGGCCCAUCUGGCAACAGGGAGGGCCCCCAGUACUGAGCGGGAGCCGGCAAGGCACAGGGAGGAAGUGUGGAGGAACCUCUUGGAGAAGCCAGCUAUGCUUGCCAGAACUCAGCCCUUUCAGACAUCACCGACCCGCCCUUACUCACAUGCCUUCCAGGUGCAAUAAAGUGGCCCCAAGGAAAA